GACGAACGCUGGCGGCGUGCUUAACACAUGCAAGUCGAACGGAAAGGCCCUGCUUUUGUGGGGUGCUCGAGUGGCGAACGGGUGAGUAACACGUGAGUAACCUGCCCUUGACUUUGGGAUAACUUCAGGAAACUGGGGCUAAUACCGGAUAGGAGCUCCUGCUGCAUGGUGGGGGUUGGAAAGUUUCGGCGGUUGGGGAUGGACUCGCGGCUUAUCAGCUUGUUGGUGGGGUAGUGGCUUACCAAGGCUUUGACGGGUAGCCGGCCUGAGAGGGUGACCGGCCACAUUGGGACUGCGAUACGGCCCAGACUCCUACGGGAGGCAGCAGUGGGGAAUCUUGCACAAUGGGCGGAAGCCUGAUGCAGCAACGCCGCGUGCGGGAUGACGGCCUUCGGGUUGUAAACCGCUUUCACCUGUGACGAAGCGUGAGUGACGGUAAUGGGUAAAGAAGCACCGGCUAACUACGUG
This 468-nucleotide ribosomal RNA is filed under the name uncultured bacterium. RNAcentral's name for it is "partial 16S ribosomal RNA". It matches the Rfam family "Bacterial small subunit ribosomal RNA", at positions 28 to 507 of the family's 1533-position model. The record is from RNAcentral.